RNAcentral lists this ribosomal RNA (253 nucleotides) under uncultured bacterium. RNAcentral's name for it is "partial 16S ribosomal RNA". It matches the Rfam family "Bacterial small subunit ribosomal RNA", at positions 524 to 776 of the family's 1533-position model. The record is from RNAcentral.
UACAGAUGGGGCUAGCGAUGUUCGGAAUUACUGGGCGUAAAGCGCGCGUAGGCGGAUCUGUAAGUUGGGGGUGAAAUCCCGAGGCUCAACCUCGGAACUGCCUUCGAUACUGCAGAUCUCGAGUCCGAGAGAGGUGAGUGGAAUUCCUAGUGUAGAGGUGAAAUUCGUAGAUAUUAGGAAGAACACCAGUGGCGAAGGCGGCUCACUGGCUCGGUACUGACGCUGAGGCGCGAAAGCGUGGGGAGCAAACAGG